RNAcentral lists this ribosomal RNA (223 nucleotides) under Vibrio fluvialis. RNAcentral's name for it is "partial 16S ribosomal RNA". It matches the Rfam family "Bacterial small subunit ribosomal RNA", at positions 341 to 556 of the family's 1533-position model. The record is from RNAcentral. Lineage: Bacteria; Pseudomonadati; Pseudomonadota; Gammaproteobacteria; Vibrionales; Vibrionaceae.
ACGGGAGGCAGCAGUGGGGAAUAUUGCACAAUGGGCGCAAGCCUGAUGCAGCCAUGCCGCGUGUAUGAAGAAGGCCUUCGGGUUGUAAAGUACUUUCAGCAGUGAGGAAGGAGGUAUCGUUAAUAGCGGUAUCUUUUGACGUUAGCUGCAGAAGAAGCACCGGCUAACUCCGUGCCAGCAGCCGCGGUAAUACGGAGGGUGCGAGCGUUAAUCGGAAUUACUG